UCACUGGAGGACUAGUGGUUAGGUCUCGGCACUUUGACCUCCACGCUCUGGGUUCGAUUCCUGGCCAGGGAA
This is a non-coding RNA of Pangasius djambal, 72 nucleotides long. NCBI's taxonomy places the organism in Eukaryota, Metazoa, Chordata, Actinopteri, Siluriformes, Pangasiidae. The record is from the annotation of a GenBank genome assembly.